This is a long non-coding RNA of Acinonyx jubatus (cheetah), 490 nucleotides long. RefSeq lists it as uncharacterized. The record is from RefSeq and is a predicted model, not a curated record. The transcript has 3 exons. Lineage: Eukaryota; Metazoa; Chordata; Mammalia; Carnivora; Felidae.
AAGAAGGACUGAAAGAUGCAUUUCUGGAGAAAAACAUUCUCGGGUUGCCCAGUGUGUUUUCCAGUCGCAAUAAAGAGGCACAGAUACUGAUUAUGAGUGUCUGAGUAAGCAGGUGCCCCUGGCACAUAAUACAACCAGUCCCCAAGCUGCACUCACAACCAGGAAGAGAAAUGGUGUUCUCAUUGAAGCUGAUACCGAACUCAGACUCAGGCCUUUACCCCAGACAAGAGAUCCAUCGACUUUUCUGUGGAAUCUGCUCCAGCCAAGAAGACAGGAGAGCAGGACAGCCAAGGGAGUACCCAAACUCAACAACGCAGCUGGAUGGCCCUUCUCUAAAGCUCAGCUACCAUGCUCCAUUCACAUGCAUAGAUCUCUAUCAAAGUCGGGGUUGAUCUAAGGUCGUCAGAAAACAAUCACAGAUUAUCAGAUAGCUGAGGAAAACCUCUAAUAAGAAAGACAGAGGCCAAAUAAAAAAAAAAAUAGAAAAAAA